This 459-nucleotide ribosomal RNA is filed under the name uncultured bacterium. RNAcentral's name for it is "partial 16S ribosomal RNA". It matches the Rfam family "Bacterial small subunit ribosomal RNA", at positions 338 to 795 of the family's 1533-position model. The record is from RNAcentral.
CCUACGGUGAGCUGCAGUGAGGGAUAUUGGUCCAUGGCCGAGAGGCUGAACCAGCCAAGUCGCGUGAGGGAAGACGGCCCUACGGGUUGUAAACCUCUUUUGUCGGGGAGCAAAGCGAACCACGUGUGGUUCAUUGAGAGUACCCGAAGAAAAAGCAUCGGCUAACUCCGUGCCAGCAGCCGCGGUAAUACGGAGGAUGCGAGCGUUAUCAGGAUUUAUUGGGUUUAAAGGGUGCGCAGGCGGAGGUGCAAGUCAGCGGUAAACUUGCGGGGCUCAACCCCGUACUGCCGUUGAAACUGCAUCCCUUGAGUGCGCGAGAAGUAUGCGGAAUGCGUGGUGUAGCGGUGAAAUGCAUAGAUAUCACGCAGAACUCCGAUUGCGAAGGCAGCAUACCGGCGCGCAACUGACGCUCAUGCACGAAAGCGUGGGUAUCGAACAGGAUUAGAUACCCCGGUAGUC